RNAcentral lists this unclassified non-coding RNA (5293 nucleotides) under Leishmania donovani. RNAcentral's name for it is "gene:LdHU3.25.0980(CDS-product:protein_phosphatas e_putative)". Lineage: Eukaryota; Euglenozoa; Kinetoplastea; Trypanosomatida; Trypanosomatidae. The record is from RNAcentral.
UGUUUUCCUUUUUGGAUUUAUUUGCCCCUCUUCUUCCCCCGACCUCACACACACCCCACACCUCCGCACCUACCCCUCCCCCUACACACGUGCUCACAACUCCAUUUGUUGUUCAUCUCUUCAGUUUCUGUUUUGUAUUUGGAUUCCUCCCUCGCAGUUUCUCUCUUCCUUCAGACGUCCCUGUCUCUCCUCUCGCUGGCUUUCUCACACACACGCACGCACGCGCAGAGAGAGAGGAGAUUGCUAAUAUCCCCCACCCUUUCCGUCUUGUCCUUUUUUUCUGUGGUUCCUCCAUCCCCGUUCUUGCUUAAAUCUCUCUCUCGUGCUCUCUCGCCUCUCUCGCUCUCGCUCUCAUCGAUCCAGUCGCCCCCUCCCUCCCCACCCCUCUCUCACUCUGUGCUCGUUCUCUCUUCCCCCUUUUUCCUCUCUCUUUCCUCUCCGCGCGUCUGAUCUGCAGUACAUACACACCUACUCCUCCACCCUUCCAAACACGCACCGACGCAACCUCACACCCAUCUCUUUCUGUUUGCAUACAUACAACACACAGACAGACAGACACGCACACAACUGCGUUCUCUUUCUCGAUAUCCACUCCGUCCCCUUCCUCUUCCACACGUGCGACUCCUCGAUAUACCUUCAACAGGUAUAUACCCACCAGGCCGCUACUCGGGGACCCAGUAGCAUCAGUAGAGGACAAACAGACAAGCCAAGGAGAAGCAGUUUCACAACUCGAAAAGAUGGGCAUUCCACUUCCGAAGCCGGUGAUGACGCAGCUCCAGGAGCGUUACGGAAACGCCAUCUUCCGCUGCGGCUCCAACUGCGUGAAUGGGUACCGUGAGACCAUGGAGGAUGCCCAUCUGACGUACCUGACGGAUAGCUGGGGUUUCUUCGGCGUCUUCGACGGCCAUGUGAAUGACCAGUGUUCGCAGUACCUCGAGAGGGCAUGGCGCAGCGCCAUUGAGAAGGAAUCGAUCCCCAUGACGGAUGAGCGGAUGAAGGAGUUGGCACUGCGGAUCGACCAGGAGUGGAUGGACUCGGGCCGCGAGGGCGGCAGCACGGGCACCUUCUUUGUAGCCCUCAAGGAGGGCAACAAGGUGCACCUGCAGGUUGGUAACGUCGGUGACUCGCGUGUGGUGGCCUGCAUCGAUGGCGUGUGCGUCCCUCUGACGGAGGACCACAAGCCAAAUAAUGAAGGGGAGCGCCAGCGCAUUGAAAACUGCGCGGGCCGUGUGGAGAACAACCGCGUCGAUGGCAGCCUGGCCGUCAGUCGCGCUUUCGGCGACCGCGAGUACAAGCUAGGCAGUGGUAGUCAGCUGGAGCAGAAGGUGAUCGCCUUAGCAGAUGUCCAGCACAAGGAUUUCACCUUCGACUCGAACGACUUUGUGCUGCUGUGCUGCGACGGCGUCUUCGAGGGCAACUUCCCGAACGAGGAGGUGGUGGCCUACGUGAAGCAGCAGCUGGAGACCUGCAACGACCUCGCCGAGGUGGCCGGGCGUGUGUGCGAGGAGGCGAUCGAGCGCGGCAGCCGUGACAACAUCUCGUGCAUGAUCGUGCAGUUUAAGGACGGCAGCGACUACGCUGCUGAGCCGCACACCACCGUUGUGCCCGGGCCGUUUAGCGCACCGCGCAACAGCGGCUUCCGUAAGGCGUACGAGUCAAUGGCAGACAAAGGCAACACCACCGUCGGCGCCCUCCUAGAAAAGCGCUACGACACCCUCAAGGCCGCCGAAGCCCUCACGCCGGAAGAAACGGAAGAGCUGAGCCAGUUUGAGAACGGCCCAGAGGCGAAGCUCACAGGCGCCGAACGCCAGAAGUGGUUCUCGAACUACUUCCAGAAGCUGUGCGAGGCAGCAUCGAACGGGCCAAGUGACCAGAUGGAGCGCCUGCAGUCGCUGCAGCAGCAGGCCGGCAUUCCGCUCUCUAUCCUGCUGUCCUUGAUGGGUGAGCAGACGCAGUGAACAACGCAAGAAAAUAGGGGAAAAACGCAACACUGAAAGGAGCACCAAAGCGAAAUGCAAGAGAAGUGAAAAGGCGGCGAAGUGGAGGAGGGAGGGGAGGGAGAGGGAGGGGCGAAGAAAUGAGCUGAGGCGGAGCGAAAAGUCGAGAAGGGUGGAGGCGCAAGUGAGCCAGUGCCGUGUGCUCUGACGAGGUCCUCCCCUUCACACACCCCACUUGACCCCUCCCCCUCUCACAUACUAUGACCGUCUUCCUCUCCCGCCCUUUUACUGGCAGGGUACCCUUUUUUUGGAAGAGGUCGAAGAACAGUCAAGGACAGAACACCACAGUCGAGGAAAAGGGGGUGAUCACGACACACAUAUAUACCCGUAUAGACACACACACACACACGUGAGAUGGGUUGCGUGAUGAUGUCAGAGCUUAUGGUGUGUGUGUGUGUUUGUGGGCGGGUGCGGAGUGCCGGUGCCCUCCGAGGGCGAAGGGGAAUUCCCUCCUCUUCCCCACUCCCUCUCGCAUUCCAAGUAGUGCUGGAGCGGAUUUGGGAGGGUGAGAGCAAGGAAAAAAAAAAACAGCUGCAAGGAGGGCGAAUGCUGAAAGGGCGUUCUGCGUGUGGCCACAGGCGUCAAGGAGCUCCAUCGAGAGUGGCUGGGGAGCACUCGACAAGUGGUGAGAGGCAGAAGGGGAUCAAAGGAGUUGUGCCAGAGGAGACGAGAAAAAUGCUAGGAAGAGGGGAAGGAGUGGGCGAAGGACGAGAACAGAGAGGGAGAUGGAAAUUCCGCAUACUGUAAGAUCGAAAAGUAGAAAGGAUGCGAAAGGGUGAGCGGGAGAAGCACACAGGCCAUUGGGAUGAGUCACACAGUACAUGCGACUCGUCAGUGAAGGGCGCCGUUCUUUAUGCGUUCCACCACCACCCCUUAUCUCUCUCUCUCUGCAUCGCGUCCUUCUGUGGCACAACCCACACACCAGCAAAAGAAGAUAGACCACUUGCACGCGUUGCUCGAUCACCAAUGUUUUUCGCUUUACUUUUUUUUUGCUUCUUCCCCCCUCCCCCUGCGUGUUUUCUGUCUUGUAUUUCUUUCCUCUCCGUUUGCUUUCGUUCUUGUGGCGCGAUUGGUGCGUGUGUGUGUGUGUGCAUGCGUGUGUGUGCAAGGGCAACACCCACCCUUCCUGGAGGAGGACGAGAGCGAAAGAGGGCAACAGAGCGAGAAGUAAGCGAAAAAAAAAACGAAAGAGAACGUAUGCUACGCUUGGAUUCUUGUCCCUGCCCCCUUCCCCUCUCUCUCGCUCUCGCUCUCUUUCAAUUGUUGUACUGCUGAUCGGUGAGCGAGUCUCGAUCCGCCGUCUCCCGUUUUGAAGCGCUCUCCUUUCGUUCCCUUGCAUCCGCUCUUCGUCAGGUGACACACACACACACCGAUACACACACGCAGGCGAAAAGCACACCGACACGCUUGCAUGCGCGCGCGAAACGAGAAAAAAAGGAGAACAUGAAAACAAAGGGAAACACGGGAUGUAUGCCAUGUAUGUAGAAUGAAAUGUAUGCGUAUCGCCGCUGUGUUGUUGUCUGUGUGUCUGUGCGUGCAUCCCUCUUCCCCCUCCCCUCGCUCCACGCGGCCCCAGCCCCUUUCUGUAACCUCCCCCCGUUGUCUUUGAAAGUCUCUCUAUGUGUUCGUGCUUUUGCUGUGCUGGCGUUUCGUGCGUUGUUUCACGUGGUGCGCUGCGCUAGCAUACACCCACACACCCAUGCAACCCCCUCCCCCGUGUCCCUCUCUCCCUUUCGCAUCCUUCUCCUACGCCCACCGCUUGCCGUCUCCGGCGUGCUACGCGCUCUACGAUGGCGGCGACACGGUGCCAUCACUGUCCCCCUUUUUCCUUUUCUGUACUGCAUCUCUGCCACCGUUUGUUCUUGUUGCGUCUUCAGCCGCCUCCGACAUGCUAAGUAGGCUCUCAUCCCUUCUCUGCUUCCUUUUCCUUUCUCCUCCACAUCUCAGAAGUAUGAUGACGGCAGAGAGGGCGGAGCAGGGGAAGGUCGUUCAAGAUUAGCACUCACCACCCCACCCCUCCUCCGCGACGGAUCGAGAAACAGAAGACACAUCAUCACCAAAAGGGAGCUCCAAGAAACAGAGAGAAGAAGAGUGCGUGUGUGUGUCUCACUGUUGAUGUCGGCUUCGAUCUUACGCUGUCUGUCUGCCUAUCGGUGUAUGUGCGUCUGCGUCUGAACGGGAGCCCUCUUCACGACCCCGCCCAUUUUUAUUUUCGUCCCUUUUCGUUGUUCCCGUGUCUCGAACGUUGCCCGCUGCUUGCAUGCUGCCCCUUUUGUGAUUGCUUCUGCGGUGCCUUUGCUCGCGUGCGGAGGUCGUCACUCGUCUCUUGGUGGAGUCCUCUAUUUCUUUUUUUCGUGUCUUUCCUAUUGGUGAGCCCCACGUUUUACAGCCGCUCCACCGGUACAUAUGUCCCAUGAGCCCCCCACCCCCACCCCCUUCCUCCUCUCUCUGAAUAUGUGUGAGAAAUUGUGUGUAAGAGGAGGGAGGGAGGGAGGGAGGGAGGGAGAGGGGGGCGUGUCCUGAUGGCUGUCUGCGUGUCAAGCGCGUCGGCAGCUGUUUUUGUUGUUUGUUUUUCCUCACUCCUUUGUAUGUGGUCUGUUUUGUAUUACCUUCCCGUUCGAAUCUCUCCCUGUGCGUGUGUGUUGCCUGCGCUUGUGUGUCGUCUGUGUGCGCGCACUUUUCGAUUUUUUUAUUAUUCCCUUUUGGUGCCCUCGUUGUAGUAGUGUAGCGUGUGUGUGUGAGAGGAGGAGUAGUGGCGAGGAGAGAAGCCGCUGGAGGCACGAGAUGCCACGGCAAACACGCCUCCACCGCACACCCACACACAUACACGCGUAAAUGCCAAUGUGAGGGGGCGAGGAAAGGAGGGAACUGUGCGCGCGAGAUGGAAAAAAAAGAGGGACAGUGAGGGGAAAAAAGGGGGACGGAUCGAGUGUGAUCAGACGGCGUCAUGCUUGCAUCACAUCAGCACGUCGCCUGUCCGAUAUCUUUCCCCGUUUUUCAAGCGCCCUGUCUCCUUUCUCGGUGUGCUCUGUGUGUUCUUCGUCUUGUAGCGCAAGUCUCUCUCUCUUUCUCUCCUCUGCGGUACACGCUCCCGUCUCCCACGACAUGUCUGCACCCCCUCACCUCCCCCUCCGGUAUGUAUGUAUGCAUGUGGGCGUUGAUGUGGCCCUCUUCUCUUCCCUUUGCUCUCCAGCCUUGCGUCUUGCUACUGUCAUGUGCCUGUCUUGUCCUUCUUGUGUAUGCGCACGUGUGUGUGUGUGUGUGUGUUUGUGUCAGUGAAGAAACCCCGCCUGUUG